Molecule: ribosomal RNA, 207 nt
Filed under: uncultured bacterium
Lineage: Bacteria
Description: partial 16S ribosomal RNA
Rfam family: Bacterial small subunit ribosomal RNA
Source: RNAcentral
AGCGUAGACGGCUGUGCAAGUCUGAAGUGAAAGGCAUGGGCUCAACCUGUGGACUGCUUUGGAAACUGUGCAGCUAGAGUGUCGGAGAGGUAAGUGGAAUUCCUAGUGUAGCGGUGAAAUGCGUAGAUAUUAGGAGGAACAUCAGUGGCGAAGGCGGCUUACUGGACUGAAACUGACACUGAGGCACGAAAGCGUGGGGAGCAAACA